This 440-nucleotide ribosomal RNA is filed under the name uncultured bacterium. Its description in RNAcentral is "bacterial SSU rRNA". It matches the Rfam family "Bacterial small subunit ribosomal RNA", at positions 338 to 795 of the family's 1533-position model. The record is from RNAcentral.
CCUACGGGAGGCAGCAGUGGGGAAUAUUGCACAAUGGGCGAAAGCCUGAUGCAGCAACGCCGCGUGAGCGAAGAAGGCCUUCGGGUCGUAAAGCUCUGUCCUAAGGGAAGAAAAGUGACGGUACCUUAGGAGGAAGCCCCGGCUAACUACGUGCCAGCAGCCGCGGUAAUACGUAGGGGGCGAGCGUUAUCCGGAAUCACUGGGCGUAAAGGGUGCGUAGGCGGCCAAAUAAGCCAGGGGUGAAAGGCUACGGCUUAACCGUAGUAAGCCUUUGGAACUGUAUGGCUUGAGUGCAGGAGAGGAGAGUGGAAUUCCUAGUGUAGCGGUGAAAUGCGUAGAUAUUAGGAGGAACACCAGUGGCGAAGGCGACUCUCUGGACUGUAACUGACGCUGAGGCACGAAAGCGUGGGGAGCGAACAGGAUUAGAUACCCUGGUAGUC